RNAcentral lists this ribosomal RNA (253 nucleotides) under uncultured bacterium. RNAcentral describes it as "partial 16S ribosomal RNA". It matches the Rfam family "Bacterial small subunit ribosomal RNA", at positions 524 to 776 of the family's 1533-position model. The record is from RNAcentral.
UACGUAGGUCUCAAGCGUUAUCCGGAUUUACUGGGCGUAAAGCGCGCGUAGGUGUCUUGUUAAGUCUGCGGUGAAAUCUCCGGGCCCAACCCGGAAACUGUCGCAGAUACUGGCAGGAUUGAGUGUGGUAGGGGCAGAUGGAAUUCCAGGUGUAGGGGUAAAAUCCGUAGAUAUCUGGAAGAACACCCAUGGCGAAGGCAGUCUGCUGGGCCAUUACUGACACUGAGGCGCGAAAGCGUGGGGAGCGAACGGG